UUUUGUUUCUGUGCAUUGCAUAAGCUUUUUAAAGCAUUUAUACAUACUUAUGAAUUAUCAUUUCACCCUUAAGAGAACUUUGUAAGAAUUCCUACUACUAUUCUCAUCAAUGAAGAAAAGUUUGUUGUUUUAAUUAACUAUAAAACCUGAAAAUGUAAU
Phyllostomus discolor (pale spear-nosed bat) is the source of this 159-nucleotide long non-coding RNA. RefSeq lists it as uncharacterized. The transcript is spliced from 2 exons. The record is from RefSeq and is a predicted model, not a curated record. Lineage: Eukaryota; Metazoa; Chordata; Mammalia; Chiroptera; Phyllostomidae.